AUGAAGAACGCAGCGAAAUGCGAUAAGUAAUGUGAAUUGCAGAAUUCAGUGAAUCAUCGAAUCUUUGAACGCACAUUGCGCCCGCCAGUAUUCUGGCGGGCAUGCCUGUCCGAGCGUCAUUUCAACCCUCGAACCCCUCCGGGGGGUCGGCGUUGGGG
This 158-nucleotide ribosomal RNA is filed under the name Cladosporium sp. 1T50D. RNAcentral describes it as "5.8S ribosomal RNA". The stretch from base 1 to 119 matches the Rfam family "5.8S ribosomal RNA", at positions 36 to 154 of the family's 154-position model. From Rfam's summary of the family: 5.8S ribosomal RNA (5.8S rRNA) is a component of the large subunit of the eukaryotic ribosome. It is transcribed by RNA polymerase I as part of the 45S precursor that also contains 18S and 28S rRNA. Lineage: Eukaryota; Fungi; Ascomycota; Dothideomycetes; Cladosporiales; Cladosporiaceae. The record is from RNAcentral.